AAAUAUGUAACUUUUUUAUAUCAUGUUUUUUAUCUGGUAUUUUUCUAUAUUAGAUAUCAAAUAAAGUUGAAAAGAUUUCUUUUGAUGUUAAUCAAGUUGUUGAAGUGAAAAAUGCUCAACCUGGUACAGCAAAAGUCUAUGAUUACUACGCAAACGAAAAUUCUGCAUCGACCAGCUACACAAUUACUACUGAAAGCAAUGAAGCAUAGAAAGAAAUUAUUAAAAAGAUUGACAUCUUUAAAGUCAUUAUAUUAAGCUAAAUAUGACUGUAUAUUUUAAAUUGUAAAAAUAAAUUUUAUAUGCAAUAAAAAAAAUUUUAU
This is a long non-coding RNA of Parasteatoda tepidariorum (common house spider), 320 nucleotides long. The record is from RefSeq and is a predicted model, not a curated record. NCBI's taxonomy places the organism in Eukaryota, Metazoa, Arthropoda, Arachnida, Araneae, Theridiidae.